This 468-nucleotide ribosomal RNA is filed under the name uncultured bacterium. RNAcentral describes it as "partial 16S ribosomal RNA". It matches the Rfam family "Bacterial small subunit ribosomal RNA", at positions 28 to 507 of the family's 1533-position model. The record is from RNAcentral.
GAUGAACGCUGGCGGCGUGCUUAACACAUGCAAGUCGAACGGAAAGGCCAGUGCUUGCACUGGUACUCGAGUGGCGAACGGGUGAGUAACACUUGGGUGAUCUGCCCUGUACUUCGGGAUAAGCUUGGGAAACUUGGUCUAAUACCGGAUAGGACAACUUUUUGGAUAUUGUUGUGGAAAUCUUUUGCGGUAUGGGAUGAGCUCGCGGCCUAUCAGCUUGUUGGUGGGGUAAUGGCCUACCAAGGCGUCGACGGGUAGCCGGCCUGAGAGGGUGUACGGCGACAUGGGGACUGAGAGACGGGCCAGACUCCUACGGGAGGCAGCAGGGGGGAAUAUUGCACAAUGGGCGCAAGCCUGAUGCAGCGACGCCGCGUGGGGGAUGAAGGCAUUCGGGUUGUAAACUCCUUUCGCUAGGGACGAAGCUUUUUUGUGACGGUACCUGGAGAAGAAGCACCGGCUAACUACGUG